This 496-nucleotide ribosomal RNA is filed under the name uncultured bacterium. Its description in RNAcentral is "partial 16S ribosomal RNA". It matches the Rfam family "Bacterial small subunit ribosomal RNA", at positions 28 to 523 of the family's 1533-position model. The record is from RNAcentral.
GAUGAACGCUGGCGGCGUGCCUAACACAUGCAAGUCGAGCGAGAUAAAUGUGAGUGGAGACUUCGGUCAAAGCAAUCAUUUUGGAAGCGGCGGACGGGUGAGUAACGCGUGAGCAAUCUGCCCCAUACAAAGGGAUACCCACUGGAAACGGUGAUUAAUACCUUAUAAGACCACGAAGUCGCCUGGCUUAGUGGCCAAAGAUUUAUCGGUAUGGGAUGAGCUCGCGUCUGAUUAGCUAGUUGGUGAGGUAAUGGCUCACCAAGGCGACGAUCAGUAGCCGACCUGGGAGGGUGAACGGCCACACUGGAACUGAGACACGGUCCAGACUCCUACGGGAGGCAGCAGUGGGGAAUAUUGGACAAUGGGGGCAACCCUGAUCCAGCCAUGCCGCGUGAGUGAUGAAGGCCUUAGGGUUGUAAAGCUCUUUUACCCGGGACGAUAAUGACUGUACCGGGAGAAUAAGCCCCGGCUAACUUCGUGCCAGCCGCCGCCGUAA